RNAcentral lists this ribosomal RNA (445 nucleotides) under uncultured bacterium. RNAcentral describes it as "partial 16S ribosomal RNA". It matches the Rfam family "Bacterial small subunit ribosomal RNA", at positions 354 to 796 of the family's 1533-position model. The record is from RNAcentral.
GUGAGGAAUAUUGGUCAAUGGGCGGGAGCCUGAACCAGCCAAGUCGCGUGAAGGAAGAAGGAUCUAUGGUUCGUAAACUUCUUUUGCAGGGGAAUAAAGUGCAGGACGUGUCCUGUUUUGUAUGUACCCUGAGAAUAAGGAUCGGCUAACUCCGUGCCAGCAGCCGCGGUAAUACGGAGGAUCCGAGCGUUAUCCGGAUUUAUUGGGUUUAAAGGGUCCGUAGGUGGUUUGAUAAGUCAGCGGUGAAAGUUUGCAGCUUAACUGUAAAAAUGCCGUUGAAACUGUCGGACUUGAGUGUAAAUGAGGUAGGCGGAAUGCGUGGUGUAGCGGUGAAAUGCAUAGAUAUCACGCAGAACUCCGAUUGCGAAGGCAGCUUACUAAGCUACAACUGACACUGAAGCACGAAAGCGUGGGGAUCAAACAGGAUUAGAAACCCCGGUAGUCC